RNAcentral lists this long non-coding RNA (1008 nucleotides) under Gossypium barbadense (sea-island cotton). RNAcentral's name for it is "long non-coding RNA (GBAR_LNC017793)". Lineage: Eukaryota; Viridiplantae; Streptophyta; Magnoliopsida; Malvales; Malvaceae. The record is from RNAcentral.
CGAUUCAACACUCACAAUUCCAGAACCUAAACUCAGCAUUUAUAUAACUAAUUUUAGUAACAACACACGAAACUUAAUCAAGAUUCAGAACACUUACCCAAAAGAAACAUCAAUUAAAAUGAAUUCCUCAGUUUGUUGGAGGGUUAAUCGCAAGCAAACCUUUACCUAAAGAUAAAUUCACAUUGUGAAAACUAUAAUUACACAGUACAAAUAAAAAAUCGUAUCCCAAAUGUAACAAUCCCUAAAACUAAAUUCGAAACUUAGAACCACAACCUUACCACAAAUGACCCACACCGGUGUAGAAGAAACAAAGGAGGAGAAAUCCCAAAAGCAGAGAAAAGUGUAAAAGAGGAAGCCACAGGAGAAAAAUCUUAUUACUAAACUUGAAUUGAAUAGCAAAGGAAAGAAACAAAACAAAAAUUUGCAGGAAAGAAUAAGCUGACGUGAAAGUGGAGGGGCAAAAGAGAGUGGACGAUUUGAGGGAGAGAAAUUUUUGGGAUUAUGCCAAAUAUUACUAUUCUUUUAGAAAAAAUUAACAAAACAAAGAUAAUAACAAUAAUAAAAAUUAAAGAAUAAACACUUAACUAUCCAAAUCCUAUCAUACUUCUAAGAUUUGAAUUAAAUUCAAAAUUUGACUACAUGGCCGCACGAACAAAGAAUAGCAAAAGUAUUUUCUCUCCACAUACAUAAAAUUCAAACACGAGACCUUUGGGUAAGCUGAAGCCUUAUCAUUGAACCAGUAGGCUCAUCCUUGUAAUUAAUAGAUGCACAAAAAUAAUUUAUAAAUUAAAUGUUCAAAGAUAGGGGUUGACAAAAAUAAAAAAAGUUUAAGGAAAGGGAUUUGAACAAAAAAUCUCUCACACACAAAUACAACACUUAACCACUAAACCAAAUCAAAUCAUUUAUCAAAAUUUUCACAAUCUAAACUCAAAAACAAAACAUGAUCACUCUUGAUUUCACUAACCUGAUUUCUACUAACCCGGCCGGUUUUUGGGACGUGACAAAACC